This 164-nucleotide ribosomal RNA is filed under the name Thyridariaceae sp. Its description in RNAcentral is "partial large subunit ribosomal RNA". Lineage: Eukaryota; Fungi; Ascomycota; Dothideomycetes; Pleosporales; Thyridariaceae. The record is from RNAcentral.
CGGCAACAGCUCAAAUUUGAAAUCUGGCCUCUCGGGGUCCGAGUUGUAAUUUGUAGAGGAUGUUUUGGGUACCGCCCCGGUCUAAAUUUCUUGGAACAGGACGUCACAGAGGGUGAGAAUCCCGUACGUGGUCGCUGGCCUACGCCGUGUAAAGCCCCUUCGAC